Molecule: unclassified non-coding RNA, 377 nt
Filed under: plant metagenome
Description: partial contains 5.8S ribosomal RNA, internal transcribed spacer 2, and large subunit ribosomal RNA
Rfam family: 5.8S ribosomal RNA (bases 1-104)
Source: RNAcentral
AAAUGCGAUAAGUAAUGUGAAUUGCAGAAUUCAGUGAAUCAUCGAAUCUUUGAACGCACCUUGUGCUCCUUGGUAUUCCUUGGAGCAUGCCUGUUUGAGUAUCAUGAAAUCUUCAAAGUAAAUCUUUUGUUAACUCAAUUGGUUUCUACUUUGGUAUUGGAGGUCUUUGCAGCUUCACACCUGCUCCUCUUUGUUCAUUAGCUGGAUCUCAGUGUUAUGCUUGGUUCCACUCGGCGUGAUAAGUUAUCUAUCGCUGAGGACACUGUAAAAGGUGGCCAAGGUAAAUGCAGAUGAACCGCUUCUAAUAGUCCAUUGACUUGGACAAUACUUUUAUGAUCUGAUCUCAAAUCAGGUAGGACUACCCGCUGAACUUAAGC